RNAcentral lists this transfer RNA (86 nucleotides) under Pseudoalteromonas ulvae. RNAcentral describes it as "tRNA-Leu". It matches the Rfam family "tRNA". From Rfam's summary of the family: Transfer RNA (tRNA) molecules are approximately 80 nucleotides in length. Their secondary structure includes four short double-helical elements and three loops (D, anti-codon, and T loops). The record is from RNAcentral. RNAcentral also lists the same sequence under 10 other names. Lineage: Bacteria; Pseudomonadati; Pseudomonadota; Gammaproteobacteria; Alteromonadales; Pseudoalteromonadaceae.
GCCGUGGUGGUGGAAUUGGUAGACACGCCAUCUUGAGGGGGUGGUGAGCUAUGCUCGUGCGGGUUCAAGUCCCGCUCACGGCACCA